AACGCGAAGAACCUUACCAAGGCUUGACAUCCUAGGAACCGACUGGAAACAGCUGGGUGCCUUCGGGAGCCUAGUGACAGGUGUUGCAUGGCCGUCGUCAGCUCGUGUCGUGAGAUGUUGGGUUAAGUCCCGCAACGAGCGCAACCCUUGUCGUCUGUUGUAUAUUUCAGACGAGACUGCCCGGGCCAACCGGGAGGAAGGUGGGGAUGACGUCAGGUCAGCAUGACCCUUACGCCUUGGGCCACUCACGUGCUACAAUGGCCGGCACAACGCGUCUUGCCAACCCGCGAGGGGGAGCUAAUCGCAUCAAAACCGGUCCCAGUUCGGAUUGAAGGCUGCAACUCGCCUUCAUGAAGCCGGAAUCGCUAGUAAACGUGGGUCAGCAUACCACGUUGAAUACGUUCCCGGGCCUUGUACACACCGUAGUAC
Molecule: ribosomal RNA, 429 nt
Filed under: uncultured bacterium
Lineage: Bacteria
Description: bacterial SSU rRNA
Rfam family: Bacterial small subunit ribosomal RNA
Source: RNAcentral